This 1037-nucleotide long non-coding RNA is filed under the name Vombatus ursinus (common wombat). Its description in RNAcentral is "lncRNA (ENSVURG00010012976.1)". Lineage: Eukaryota; Metazoa; Chordata; Mammalia; Diprotodontia; Vombatidae. The record is from RNAcentral.
CCACAUUUCGUCAUUUCUAUAAAGCACCUGUUGAAUGUUAUAUUGUAUAAUCCAUUGAGCUAAAAGCCACUGGACAAACUCCGUUCUUCCUCAUUGCUCUAUGCUAUUUACAAAUGGGCGUGGGACAGAAGAAACAAAUGACUAGAGUUUAUUCACUCAGUUUCCCAUUUCACUCUUGAGGAGGAGAAGAGUUUUGCUUCAUGUGUCCAUGCUCUCUCCACAGGCCUGCAACACACACAGCAGAAAGAAGACUGGUGAACUUUGGCUCAUGAAAUGAGGAAAUGCCUAUGUGUUAAUGAACUUUUAGACUUCCCUGAAAAUGUUUAUUAAUGGACUCCUUAGACUUUCUCAUCCAGGUCUCAAGACAGUGGAUACACUGUUCAAAAUGAACAGUCCAGCUUUCAUCUAGCAUCUCACAAGGACAAGACUGCCUCUGGCAAAGAAGCAUUUGUCGUUCAUGGAGUUGCCAUUCACCAACCUGGAAGUGGCCUUCAUCUUGCUGGCUUUUGUUGUCUUCUCGCUAUUCACUCUGGCUUCCAUCUACGCUGAUCCGGAGGAGAAAAAUGCAGAGAAAGAACGUCAAUGGGAGGAAGAAAGAAGAAAAAAGAAGUCCAAGAAGAAGAAAAGCAGUCCAGAGGGUCAGGGAUUAACUGAAGAAAUUUAGAGUUAAAAACUUUCUGUCCUAAGACCUCAGAGUUAGAAAUAUUCUCCACUCUGGAGAGGAUGGAUGCCAAAGUUUCCAUCUGGAAUCAGGAAGAUGAAGGGAUGCCCAAAAGGAUGGAAGAAGCUAUUCACUGAUGAGACUGAAUCCAGACAUAACUGUAAUAAUCAUUAGCAAACUCCAUCCUGGGAAGUAAUCUUGGCACCUUUUUUAUGACCCCACUUCAUAGCCUGGAGAAUGAUAAUGCUCAUAGUAAUGAGACUGCGACCAGAGAUGAAGUAUCCAAGUCACAUGAAUUGCCAUUUCCAAAUAAUGGAGAAAGGAAAGUCUUCAUUCACUUUUUUUUAUUUGAUUUUCCUUACCAAUUUCAUUAAGG